AAGAAGUUCUAUUUUCUUGUGCUUACAGCCUCAGGAACUUCUCUAGCCCUCUUCUCCCCCAAAAUGGCGCGGGUGAAUUUUGAAGGUCCUGACAUUCUUAAGAAGCACGUUCUGCACGCAGCAUACUCAAAUAUGCAGGCCAGGUUUGUGGGUGCAGGUAGCGAGAUGUAUCCUUACCUGUGCACAGGGCCUUCUCCGUGCACAUAAAGAAGUCGCAGGCAGACCGCACCGCAGGCCGCCGUGGAACCCCUUCCAGGCCGCCGGGAUCUGGACCCACAGGCGCUCAGGAGGACAAUGGGGCCCAUUCAGUGGCGGAGCCUUGGCCUCACCUCCUGAGAGCAUGACUGCCCUUUGAGCAGAAAUCAUCCCAGCUGGAGUUUCAAAGAUACCAGGAUCCCCCAAACUCCGCCAGCUGAGAUCACUCAGGUUUUGGCAAAUCCUGCUGCCCUCAGGAGGAAUCCAAGGGCCCGACUGCA
Long non-coding RNA from Odocoileus virginianus texanus, 476 nucleotides. RefSeq lists it as uncharacterized. Lineage: Eukaryota; Metazoa; Chordata; Mammalia; Artiodactyla; Cervidae. The record is from RefSeq and is a predicted model, not a curated record.